RNAcentral lists this ribosomal RNA (378 nucleotides) under uncultured bacterium. RNAcentral's name for it is "bacterial SSU rRNA". It matches the Rfam family "Bacterial small subunit ribosomal RNA", at positions 28 to 409 of the family's 1533-position model. The record is from RNAcentral.
GACGAACGCUGGCGGCGUGCUUAACACAUGCAAGUCGAGCGGAAAGGCUCCUUCGGGGGUACUCGAGCGGCGAACGGGUGAGUAACACGUGAGUAAUCUGUCCUUGGCUUUGGGAUAAGCCCCGGAAACGGGGUCUAAUACCGGAUAUGACCGGCCACUGCAUGGUGGUUGGUGGAAAGUUUUUCGGCCAGGGAUGUGCUCGCGGCCUAUCAGCUUGUUGGUGGGGUAAUGGCCUACCAAGGCUUCGACGGGUAGCCGGCCUGAGAGGGUGACCGGCCACACUGGGACUGAGACACGGCCCAGACUCCUACGGGAGGCAGCAGUGGGGAAUAUUGGACAAUGGGCGGAAGCCUGAUCCAGCAACACCGCGUGAGGGAU